CCUACGGGUGGCUGCAGUAGGGAAUCUUUCACAAUGGGCGCAAGCCUGAUGGAGCAACGCCGCGUGCAGGAUGAAGGCCUUCGGGUUGUAAACUUCUUUUAUGAGCGAGAAAUAUUAUGGUAACUUCUUACUAAGGGUCGCCUCACCCCGUGCCAGCAGCCGCGGUCAUACGUAGGAUCCGAGCAUUAUCCGGAGUGACUGGGUGUAAAGAGUUGCGUAGGUGGCAUAAUAAGUAGCGAGUGAAAUCUGGUGGCCCAACCACUCAGACUAUUAGCUAAACUGUUAAGCUCGAGAGCGUUAGGGGUAAACGGAAUUUCUAGUGUAGGAGUGAAAUCCGUAGAUAUUAGAAGGAACACCAAUAGCGUAGGCAGGUUGCUGGGACGGAUCUGACACUAAGGCACGAAAGCGUAGGGAGCAAACGGGAUUAGAUACCCUAGUAGUC
RNAcentral lists this ribosomal RNA (442 nucleotides) under uncultured bacterium. Its description in RNAcentral is "partial 16S ribosomal RNA". It matches the Rfam family "Bacterial small subunit ribosomal RNA", at positions 338 to 795 of the family's 1533-position model. The record is from RNAcentral.